This 585-nucleotide ribosomal RNA is filed under the name uncultured bacterium. RNAcentral's name for it is "partial 16S ribosomal RNA". It matches the Rfam family "Bacterial small subunit ribosomal RNA", at positions 355 to 1375 of the family's 1533-position model. The record is from RNAcentral.
UGGGGAAUUUUGGACAAUGGGCGAAAGCCUGAUCCAGCAAUGCCGCGUGUGUGAAGAAGGCCUUCGGGUUGUAAAGCACUUUUGUCCGGAAAGAAAUCCUUGGCUCUAAUACAGUCGGGGGAUGACGGUACCGGAAGAAUAAGCACCGGCUAACUACGUGCCAGCAGCCGCGGUAAUACGUAGGGUGCAAGCGUUAAUCGGAAUUACUGGGCGUAAAGCGUGCGCAGGCGGUUUGCUAAGACCGAUGUGAAAUCCCCGGGCUCAACCUGGGAACUGCAUUGGUGACUGGCAGGCUAGAGUAUGGCAGAGGGGGGUAGAAUUCCACGUGUAGCAGUGAAAUGCGUAGAGAUGUGGAGGAAUACCGAUGGCGAAGGCAGCCCCUGGCCAAGUACUGACGCUCAUGCACGAAAGCGUGGGGAGCAAAACAGGAUUAGAUACCCUGGUAGUCCACGCCCUAAACGAUGUCAACUAGUUGUUGGGGAUUCAUUUCCUUAGUAACGUAGCUAACGCGUGAAGUUGACCGCCUGGGGAGUACGGUCGCAAGAUUAAAACUCAAAUGAAUUGACGGGGUCAUAGCUGUUUCCU